UGUAUUUCACUAAGGGCUUAUCAAACCAA
This 29-nucleotide non-coding RNA is filed under the name Mus musculus (house mouse). The record is from RNAcentral. Lineage: Eukaryota; Metazoa; Chordata; Mammalia; Rodentia; Muridae.